Molecule: ribosomal RNA, 492 nt
Filed under: uncultured bacterium
Lineage: Bacteria
Description: partial 16S ribosomal RNA
Rfam family: Bacterial small subunit ribosomal RNA
Source: RNAcentral
AGUGAACGCUGGCGGUAGGCCUAACACAUGCAAGUCGAACGGCAGCACAGUAAGAGCUUGCUCUUACGGGUGGCGAGUGGCGGACGGGUGAGGAAUACAUCGGAAUCUACUUUUUCGUGGGGGAUAACGUAGGGAAACUUACGCUAAUACCGCAUACGACCUACGGGUGAAAGCAGGGGAUCUUCGGACCUUGCGCGAUUGAAUGAGCCGAUGUCGGAUUAGCUAGUUGGCGGGGUAAAGGCCCACCAAGGCGACGAUCCGUAGCUGGUCUGAGAGGAUGAUCAGCCACACUGGAACUGAGACACGGUCCAGAAUCCUAAGGGAGGCAGCAGUGGGGAAUAUUGGACAAUGGGCGCAAGCCUGAUCCAGCCAUACCGCGUGGGUGAAGAAGGCCUUCGGGUUGUAAAGCCCUUUUGUUGGGAAAGAAAAGCAGCAGGUUAAUACCCCGCUGUUCUGACGGUACCCAAAGAAUAAGCACCGGCUAACUUCGUG